AAAUUGAAGAGUUUGAUCAUGGCUCAGAUUGAACGCUGGCGGCAGGCCUAACACAUGCAAGUCGAACGGUAACAGGAAACAGCUUGCUGUUUCGCUGACGAGUGGCGGACGGGUGAGUAAUGUCUGGGAAACUGCCUGAUGGAGGGGGAUAACUACUGGAAACGGUAGCUAAUACCGCAUAACGUCGCAAGACCAAAGAGGGGGACCCU
This 209-nucleotide ribosomal RNA is filed under the name Escherichia coli. RNAcentral's name for it is "partial 16S ribosomal RNA". It matches the Rfam family "Bacterial small subunit ribosomal RNA", at positions 1 to 217 of the family's 1533-position model. Lineage: Bacteria; Pseudomonadati; Pseudomonadota; Gammaproteobacteria; Enterobacterales; Enterobacteriaceae. The record is from RNAcentral.